This 2624-nucleotide unclassified non-coding RNA is filed under the name Hevea brasiliensis (rubber tree). Lineage: Eukaryota; Viridiplantae; Streptophyta; Magnoliopsida; Malpighiales; Euphorbiaceae. The record is from RNAcentral.
AUAAAAAAAAAAACAUCAACUGGUCCAUAACUAAGCCCCAAAUAACACAAGCAUAGCCAUCCGCCAAAAUGGAAUCAGACUGAUACCUACUUUCCUAUCCACUCUGUAACUUUUCUCUGUAUGUGAUCCCCUACAGCUUGUAAACAAGUACCAUUCAUAUCUUAACUUUAGAUAUUUUUCUUCUUGCAUUUACAAAUAGAAGGACUACAAUGAGUAAGACAAUGCACAUGACCAAUGAAACUGUUUUCCAUAAUGUGAUGCCACCUGAAUUGUUGAAUAAGCCCUCCAAUCCUUCCUGCAGUUUUACACCUUAAAAAUACAUCAGACAUAUUUAAGUGAAACUUGCUUGAAGCAAUCAAGUGAAACAACCAGAAAUUCAAAGCAAGCAGAAUUUUCUGAAAGUGAAGAGUGACACCUUGUGGCAUUACCAAAUUAAAGAAACGGGCCAUAGCCAAAGAACUCAAGCCCUUUAUGUUGUAUUACCAAUUUGCUGUCCUGAUAAAAUGGUUAAAAAACAAGAAGAGAAAGUCCAGGAUGUCUAAUGGCUUUCAUACAAAGAAUGUUUGGAGACUGUUUUGUGUUCUCACUCUUUCCUAAACAAGUAGUGAAAAGCUAUAAAUACAUCAACUUGUUCUUCUAAAGUUCCAUGUAUUUGAGAUUCUUUAUAAUCCUUGACCAUAGAAUGUCUUCAUGUAUUUAGGCAACUAUGAGGGCAUUCAUCAUGCAUUCAACAACUGAGAACUCUAAGAACACAUGUUCCAAGUUUUUCACAGAAAAUGAAAACUUAGCAGAUGUGAUCGCUAGUAGAUGAGGCACAAGUGAUGGUAGAAACAGAAAUAACAAAAUCACAUCCUUAGCAUACAAAUACUUACUGUGCUGGCCAACUUUUGCAUUGUAUGCUCGUGCUGCUUUGCAAAGAUGUCUUGAGCAUAUUUAUAAAGCUCCAAGUCAAGAUUGUUAAGUGAUCUUAUCUGCUCAAGAACCACCUCAGGAACAAGGCGACGGUCCUCCUUCGAAAAGUUUGCUGGAGCUAUUCUCUUCAAAGAAGAGGUACGACGACGUGCCUGGGUCUUCCGUAAAUUAGAAAUGCAGUCUUCAUAGGCUGCCAUAAGUUUCUUUACAGUCAUAUUUUCUUUCUUCCCUUCCAGAUUUCCUGUAGAAGCAAUUUCACUUGCCUUUUGGUCUGAGGUGCUAACCUGAUGAUCAUCAUUUUCAUGCUCAGAAUCUGAAAUUGAAGAGCUCUGCUCUGCUUUAUUAUCGGCUGCAGUUUCCACACUAGUGUUUGAUGCCAAUGCCUGGGAAAUCACCUGUGCACCAACCACAUUCGCAAACAUUGUUGCAGAUUCUCUGUGGUCCUCAGUGAGGCCAACAUAUAACAUCUCAUCCAACCUCUUCUUAGCAACUUGCAGUACAUGUUCACCAAGAAUCUUAUACUUCUGGACACAAUGGCGCACUUCAUGUGCUUCCACAUAAUAAGAGUUGUUGGUCAAUCCUGCAACCUGGAAUGUUGCUCCAUUGUGAACCAUGUCAUGUGCUAUGGGGUCCAUGAUAUAUUCAUGUAAUGGAAUAACAAUUUCCUCCAUGUUGUAUGGAUCUUUGCUCCUCACAUGAUUGGAACCCCUAAAUUUCCUAGCAUCCCUCCUGUUAAAUAGGUCUUCCCUCAUCCAUGGAACCAAAUACUUCCAGGGCCAUAUAUCCAGUGUACUAACCCCACCAUUCCUAGGGCGCAACCGACCAGCCAUUUGUGUGGCAGAAGUUAAGUUAGGAUGCACCAAGAAUCUAGCCGCCACUUCAACAGAAAAUUCGUAAGUACUGAACACACGGUCAACUGGAUUCCUGAGUAUGGUCACCACUGAAGUUUUCUUCUUUGGAAAUUUGGACAUCAUGCUAUAGUCAUCAUGAGUAACCAACAAUCUGCACUUCUGUUUGCUUGGAUCAAAUCGCAGCUUAUCAUAUGAGCGGGGACAUUCCUCAGAGUUAGAGUACAACUUUCUCAGGAAACAGUGAAAAUAUGUACGCCCUCCAGUUCUUGGGACAUGGAGGAAAAACAACAAAUCUCGUAGCGUGUGUUUGCCCUCUGUAGCUUCUUCUUUAAGAGAAGCUAAGGCCCACUUUUUGACAAUUUUUUCGCAAUGGCUAAAAUCAUUUUUGAUGGGAGAUGCACUUGCCAAUGCAAGAAACAUCAAAAGCACAGUGAACCUCAUUGCAGGAUCCAUCCACAUAAUUCCUACAACUGUAUCGGGUUUAGGGAUCUCGUGCCCAUAAAUUCGUUCAAGUCAGUGUUGGAACUCUACCAGACAGACCUCGCAAUCAGUUAGGGCCCACACCAAACAGAAUCACAAUUUUCCAGAUAUGGUUACUCCGGAUUUUCUCGCCGGCCAAAUACAAAAAAAGGCAGUAGCUUUUACAUUUUCGCAGGAAAGUAGAAAAUUUUCUCUUGCUGAAUCUGUGUUUGUAACACUCUCUUUGGAUAAAUUAUUAGAGAGGGAAGAAAUAAGGGAUCAAAAAUAAAAAAUAUAAAGAAUAAACUACGUUGAUUUUUAAAUUUUUUAUUUUUUUAUCUAAAUUGAAAGAAAAUAAUUAGAAAAAAUAAGAUAAAUUUUUAUCCCAUUUCUUAUUUUUUC